GCGGAUGUAGCUCAGUUGGCUAGAGCGUCUGCUUGCCAUGCAGAAGGUCGCGGGUUCGAGUCCCGCCAUCCGCU
RNAcentral lists this transfer RNA (74 nucleotides) under Gaiellaceae bacterium. RNAcentral describes it as "tRNA-Gly". It matches the Rfam family "tRNA". From Rfam's summary of the family: Transfer RNA (tRNA) molecules are approximately 80 nucleotides in length. Their secondary structure includes four short double-helical elements and three loops (D, anti-codon, and T loops). The record is from RNAcentral. RNAcentral also lists the same sequence under 3 other names. Lineage: Bacteria; Bacillati; Actinomycetota; Thermoleophilia; Gaiellales; Gaiellaceae.